AGGCAGCAGCAGGGAAUAUUGCACAAUGGGCGAAAGCCUGAUGCAGCGACACCGCGUGCGGGAUGAAGGCCUUCGGGUUGUAAACCGCUUUCAGGAGGGACGAAAAUGACGGUACCUCCAGAAGAAGGCCCGGCCAACUACGUGCCAGCAGCCGCGGUAAUACGUAGGGGCCAAACGUUGUCCGGAUUUAUUGGGCGUAAAGGGCUCGUAGGCGGUUCAAAAAGUCGGUCGUGAAAGCCCGGGGCUCAACCCCGGGACGCCGGUCGAAACUGUUGUGACUAGGGUCCGGUAGAGGUGAGUGGAAUUCUCGGUGUAGCGGUGGAAUGCGCAGAUAUCGAGAGGAACACCGGUAGCGAAGGCGGCUCACUGGGCCGGUACCGACGCUGAGGAGCGAAAGCAUGAGGAGCAAACAGGAUUAGAUACCCUGGUAGUCCAUGCCGUAAACGAUGAACACUAGGUGUGGCGGACUUAUUGACGUCUGCCGUGCCGAAGCUAACGCAUUAAGUGUUCCGCCUGGGGAGUACGGCCGCAAGGCUAAAACUCAAAUGAAUUGACGG
This 557-nucleotide ribosomal RNA is filed under the name uncultured Actinomycetes bacterium. Its description in RNAcentral is "bacterial SSU rRNA". It matches the Rfam family "Bacterial small subunit ribosomal RNA", at positions 346 to 916 of the family's 1533-position model. Lineage: Bacteria; Bacillati; Actinomycetota; Actinomycetes. The record is from RNAcentral.